GUCAAAAUAUGACCAUGCUAGGGGAGAAAAAUGUUAUCUGGUAACUAAGGAGCAGAAGUUGCUAUGAACUUGUUUAUUCAUUGUUAAAAUGCCGAGUGUGGGAGAUGGCAAAGUAGAGUUUCCCAAGUGAAGAAAUCAUCGGCCAAGAAUACUUCCUGUAAAACAAGAUAUCUAAUUGAGUUUUUUUAAUUUGAAAAUACAAAUAAAUUCAUUAUUUAUUGACAACUAAAAGUUCAAAUGCACAAAGAAAUUGAAUGUAAAAAAGGGUUCUCAACUUCAACUCCUCCACUCAGAUAACAAAAUACUUUUAACAAAAUACUACUUUAAGAUAUAUAAUUUGAAGAGAUUCACAAAUAACCAUCGAGGCACCAUCACCUAAUUGUUGUCUCUUGAAAAAAAAAGUUAUUUUUCUGGUGAAAAUUGAAAAUUGAAAAAACAAAUAUAUAUUAAAAUGUCACUACUAUCAAAAGAAGGGAAGAAAGAAUCCCAUCUUGCAUGCUCAAUACACAUCAAGAAUAGAUUCAUGUUAUCCUUUCUGCAAUAACUCACCAUUUUUGGUCCCCUUCUUGUUAUUCCCACUAUCUCUCAUCAAGACCCAGUUAUUUUCUGGCA
Molecule: long non-coding RNA, 612 nt
Filed under: Erythranthe guttata (spotted monkey flower)
Lineage: Eukaryota; Viridiplantae; Streptophyta; Magnoliopsida; Lamiales; Phrymaceae
Description: long non-coding RNA (EGUT_LNC000705)
Source: RNAcentral